Molecule: long non-coding RNA, 2198 nt
Organism: Crotalus tigris (Tiger rattlesnake)
Lineage: Eukaryota; Metazoa; Chordata; Lepidosauria; Squamata; Viperidae
Exons: 4
Source: RefSeq, a predicted model, not a curated record
CUUCCGGAAAGGCCUGUGACUGAGAAAUGCAGGCAUGGCUACAAAAUAUUACUCAGAAGAAGAGCUGGGCUGGUGAAGAGAGGCCUGGCUGCAAGCCUGCAUGAAGAAUGAAGACCCUCAAGUUGGGAAAGUGGUCCAAUCAAUACUUCAAAUAAAGAAAGAAAUGGAAGGGGUGGAAUAUAAAUCAUGCAUUGACUUGAAUAAUGCUGAGCCUAUUUUCAUGGAACAAACAUCCCAGGGAAAGGUUUAAAGACAGCUACAAAUUGUGUGAUGCUAUUGUGGAGCUGGGAGAGCCAUACAUAUCGGAGCAACACCUUCUAAACAACUUGAUAUUAGCUUUCCUGUAAUACCCUUACAGCUGCUCGAAGUUAAAAAAAAAAAUUAUCCCCCAGCUGAAUAGGCUUCAUGAUGGAAUGCUGACAGGGAGAUUUAAUAUUAUUUGACUACACCACGAAGCAAGCAACUAUAGCCCUUGUAAAAUGGCUAGCUGACUGGCUGCCAUUAUUAUCCAAGCAAUCUAAGUAGUUAUGUUUCACACUACAGGGGUGUUGAGCAUAAUAGCGCUGUCUAGACUCCAUGCCUACAAAAAAGAGAGAUUGCCUUUCCUUCUGUUCUUGCUGGUCAAGCCAGGUUAAUAAUGAUUGACUUAAUGAGAGUCAUCUGACUUCUAACCUCCGGAGAGGAGAGACUUAUUUGCCAGGAUGAACAAUAUUAUAUUCUUUCAACAGAAUGGACUGAUUUUAUUUGCUUGAGAUGUUUUUAUCUUUCUCAACUGUUAUAGGGCCCAGAAUAAAUUGGCAACUAUGUAUGCUUGCUAAUAUGAUUAUAAAGAAGACAGGUUGUAUUGCUUUUAUCAUAGCUCAAUGUUCUCUUAAUUGCAGGUACUGAACCUUUCUUAUUCUCCUUCUCUUCUAAUCACUAACGAAUAUCCCAGUCUUUUCAUGGACAGGUGGUUUUGUUUUGUAUCACACUUCAGCAAUAUGCUGAGGAAAAGAAUGAAGAGUCUCUUUUGGAAAUGUUGGAGUGGUGCUUUGCUUUUCUUUAACUUGCCCAAAUACAAUUGCAGGCCUGUAUUAUUUGUGACUAAAACUACUAUGAAUAAAAAGCUCCAGUAGCUCUGCAAAUUAUAUUAUUGUAUUAUUGUAUAAUUCAAAUCAUUUAACAGAGAAGAUUUUUCAUCACGUACAGAUAUAAUAGUAAUCUCAGCUUGUCCAACACACAGCUGGUCUAUUCUGGAAAUGUGCAUUUGUAAAAUUUGAUACACAACCUCAAUAAUUUGUUUUAUUUAUUAAAUUUGUCUGACAUCUAUCUCUCCACCAAAUGACUCUAAUAAUUAUUCAAAGCUAUGAGAGACUCAAACAACUUAUGACUCCAUCUUCAAAGUUACAACUUCUGUAUUCAUGUGAUCACGUUUUGCGCCUUUUGCCAUUUUCUACCAAAAACAAUCCAUUGGAUAAACUAGAUUAGGACUUAGUCCCAUGUGUAACUCACUUAGCAGCCAAAAAUCAAGUCUGAUCAUGUGGUGACUUGAAUUAUGAUUGCAAUGACUUAUUAUCAAAAUUUCAGGCUCAGUUGCAAUCAUAAGUCUACCUACAACAGGGGUGUCAAACUGCCGGCCCACGGGCUGGUUUCAUCAUACUGGAGCUGCAUCCACCCCAUUGCCGGCAAUGGCGAAAAAGCUGAUAUGUUGUGCAACGUCAUGUGACGUCGCAAGUUUGACAUGUCUGACCUACAAGGUUUCAGAAGGCACAUGCUCCUAAAUAAUGAACACACAUGGAUAAACUCUCAAAGAGAAUCCAAUAUAGGUUUGGUAAUAUGCUAACAAUGGGGGCAUGCUAUGCUAUAGGUGGUUGGCUGACUGAGAGAUAAAAGCCUUUGUGACCCAAGCAAUUAACCUUAUAUUAACAUUUUGACAAAGGUCAUCUAUUCCCAAUUUGCCUUUAGUUUUCCAUUUUAUGAGAAGAUAGAGCAGCUGUCAACUCUACAGAUGAGCAUGGCUGCAGCCAUUUUUUCUUCUCAUUCUAGGUUGCCACAUAGAACAGAUGAAGGGGGGUUGCCCAGGUGCUUCGUUAGUCAAAAUAAUCUUUUGUCCCAUGGGAACCAAGGUCAUCAGCUGCUCCGGAGACUAGGGAGCAUUGCAUAAAAAGCCCGCCAAAUAAUCAUAUUGGGGAACAUAGUUGCUUGCAUAGUUUUAUGGG